RNAcentral lists this ribosomal RNA (500 nucleotides) under uncultured bacterium. RNAcentral's name for it is "partial 16S ribosomal RNA". It matches the Rfam family "Bacterial small subunit ribosomal RNA", at positions 30 to 523 of the family's 1533-position model. The record is from RNAcentral.
AUUGAACGCUGGCGGCAGACCUAACACAUGCAAGUCGAGCGGAUGAGUGGAGCUUGCUCCAUGAUUCAGCGGCGGACGGGUGAGUAAUGCCUAGGAAUCUGCCUGGUAGUGGGGGACAACGUUUCGAAAGGAACGCUAAUACCGCAUACGUCCUACGGGAGAAAGUGGGGGAUCUUCGGACCUCACGCUAUCAGAUGAGCCUAGGUCGGAUUAGCUAGUUGGUGAGGUAAAGGCUCACCAAGGCGACGAUCCGUAACUGGUCUGAGAGGAUGAUCAGUCACACUGGAACUGAGACACGGUCCAGACUCCUACGGGAGGCAGCAGUGGGGAAUAUUGGACAAUGGGCGAAAGCCUGAUCCAGCCAUGCCGCGUGUGUGAAGAAGGUCUUCGGAUUGUAAAGCACCUUAAGUUGGGAGGAAGGGCAGUAAGUUAAUACCUGUGAGUUUUGACGUUACCAACAGAAUAAGCACCGGCUAACUUCGUGCCAGCAGCCGCAGUAA